GCAAACUUGGUCAUUUAGAGGAAGUAAAAGUCGUAACAAGGUUUCCGUAGGUGAACCUGCGGAAGGAUCAUUAUUGAAUUCAUGGAUUUUGAGUUGUUGCUGGCUUUGAAAAGCAUGUGUGCACACUCAUUUUCUUCUCUCCUCACACCACAUGUGCACCCGUGUAGUCCCAAACCUGUUUCAAAUCCACUUAUCGGUUUUGGAAUUGAGAAAUUGCAGCUCGGAUGGCAACAUCUGUCUCUGCUUUUCUUGCUUUUGGUCCUACGACUUUUUUAUUUUAACAUCUCAUGUGAUAACAAAAGACAGAAAACCAUUGAAAUACAAUACAACUUUCAACAACGGAUCUCUUGGCUCUCGCAUCGAUGAAGAACGCAGC
RNAcentral lists this unclassified non-coding RNA (376 nucleotides) under uncultured fungus. RNAcentral's name for it is "partial contains small subunit ribosomal RNA, internal transcribed spacer 1, and 5.8S ribosomal RNA". The stretch from base 1 to 73 matches the Rfam family "Eukaryotic small subunit ribosomal RNA", at positions 1759 to 1831 of the family's 1831-position model. Lineage: Eukaryota; Fungi. The record is from RNAcentral.